RNAcentral lists this transfer RNA (76 nucleotides) under Candidatus Methylopumilus planktonicus. RNAcentral describes it as "tRNA-Arg". It matches the Rfam family "tRNA". From Rfam's summary of the family: Transfer RNA (tRNA) molecules are approximately 80 nucleotides in length. The record is from RNAcentral. Lineage: Bacteria; Pseudomonadati; Pseudomonadota; Betaproteobacteria; Nitrosomonadales; Methylophilaceae.
ACCCUCGUAGCUCAGUGGAUAGAGCAUCCCUCUCCUAAGGGGAGGGUCACAGGUUCAACUCCUGUCGAGGGCGCCA